Molecule: ribosomal RNA, 2281 nt
Filed under: Salmonella enterica subsp. enterica serovar Give
Lineage: Bacteria; Pseudomonadati; Pseudomonadota; Gammaproteobacteria; Enterobacterales; Enterobacteriaceae
Description: partial 23S ribosomal RNA
Rfam family: Bacterial large subunit ribosomal RNA
Source: RNAcentral
GAGGGAAACCGAGUCUUAAUUGGGCGUUAAGUUGCAGGGUAUAGACCCGAAACCCGGUGAUCUAGCCAUGGGCAGGUUGAAGGUUGGGUAACACUAACUGGAGGACCGAACCGACUAAUGUUGAAAAAUUAGCGGAUGACCUGUGGCUGGGGGUGAAAGGCCAAUCAAACCGGGAGAUAGCUGGUUCUCCCCGAAAGCUAUUUAGGUAGCGCCUCGUGAAUUCAUCUCCGGGGGUAGAGCACUGUUUCGGCUAGGGGGCCAUCCCGGCUUACCAACCCGAUGCAAACUGCGAAUACCGGAGAAUGUUAUCACGGGAGACACACGGCGGGUGCUAACGUCCGUCGUGAAGAGGGAAACAACCCAGACCGCCAGCUAAGGUCCCAAAGUCAUGGUUAAGUGGGAAACGAUGUGGGAAGGCCCAGACAGCCAGGAUGUUGGCUUAGAAGCAGCCAUCAUUUAAAGAAAGCGUAAUAGCUCACUGGUCGAGUCGGCCUGCGCGGAAGAUGUAACGGGGCUAAACCAUGCACCGAAGCUGCGGCAGCGACGCUGAUGCGUUGUUGGGUAGGGGAGCGUUCUGUAAGCCUGCGAAGGUGGCCUGUGAGGGUUGCUGGAGGUAUCAGAAGUGCGAAUGCUGACAUAAGUAACGAUAAAGCGGGUGAAAAGCCCGCUCGCCGGAAGACCAAGGGUUCCUGUCCAACGUUAAUCGGGGCAGGGUGAGUCGACCCCUAAGGCGAGGCCGAAAGGCGUAGUCGAUGGGAAACGGGUUAAUAUUCCCGUACUUGGUGUUACUGCGAAGGGGGGACGGAGAAGGCUAUGUUGGCCGGGCGACGGUUGUCCCGGUUUAAGCGUGUAGGUGUGUGUUCCAGGUAAAUCCGGUUCACUUUAACACUGAGGCGUGAUGACGAGGCACUACGGUGCUGAAGCAACAAAUGCCCUGCUUCCAGGAAAAGCCUCUAAGCAUCAGGUAACAUCAAAUCGUACCCCAAACCGACACAGGUGGUCAGGUAGAGAAUACCAAGGCGCUUGAGAGAACUCGGGUGAAGGAACUAGGCAAAAUGGUGCCGUAACUUCGGGAGAAGGCACGCUGACACGUAGGUGAAGUGAUUUACUCAUGGAGCUGAAGUCAGUCGAAGAUACCAGCUGGCUGCAACUGUUUAUUAAAAACACAGCACUGUGCAAACACGAAAGUGGACGUAUACGGUGUGACGCCUGCCCGGUGCCGGAAGGUUAAUUGAUGGGGUCAGCGCAAGCGAAGCUCCUGAUCGAAGCCCCGGUAAACGGCGGCCGUAACUAUAACGGUCCUAAGGUAGCGAAAUUCCUUGUCGGGUAAGUUCCGACCUGCACGAAUGGCGUAAUGAUGGCCAGGCUGUCUCCACCCGAGACUCAGUGAAAUUGAACUCGCUGUGAAGAUGCAGUGUACCCGCGGCAAGACGGAAAGACCCCGUGAACCUUUACUAUAGCUUGACACUGAACAUUGAGCCUUGAUGUGUAGGAUAGGUGGGAGGCUUUGAAGUGUGGACGCCAGUCUGCAUGGAGCCGGCCUUGAAAUACCACCCUUUAAUGUUUGAUGUUCUAACGUGGACCCGUGAUCCGGGUUGCGGACAGUGUCUGGUGGGUAGUUUGACUGGGGCGGUCUCCUCCUAAAGAGUAACGGAGGAGCACGAAGGUUGGCUAAUCCUGGUCGGACAUCAGGAGGUUAGUGCAAUGGCAUAAGCCAGCUUGACUGCGAGCGUGACGGCGCGAGCAGGUGCGAAAGCAGGUCAUAGUGAUCCGGUGGUUCUGAAUGGAAGGGCCAUCGCUCAACGGAUAAAAGGUACUCCGGGGAUAACAGGCUGAUACCGCCCAAGAGUUCAUAUCGACGGCGGUGUUUGGCACCUCGAUGUCGGCUCAUCACAUCCUGGGGCUGAAGUAGGUCCCAAGGGUAUGGCUGUUCGCCAUUUAAAGUGGUACGCGAGCUGGGUUUAGAACGUCGUGAGACAGUUCGGUCCCUAUCUGCCGUGGGCGCUGGAGAACUGAGGGGGGCUGCUCCUAGUACGAGAGGACCGGAGUGGACGCAUCACUGGUGUUCGGGUUGUCAUGCCAAUGGCACUGCCCGGUAGCUAAAUGCGGAAGAGAUAAGUGCUGAAAGCAUCUAAGCACGAAACUUGCCCCGAGAUGAGUUCUCCCUGAGACUUAGAGUCUCCUGAAGGAACGUUGAAGACGACGACGUUGAUAGGCCGGGUGUGUAAGCGCAGCGAUGCGUUGAGCUAACCGGUACUAAUGAACCGUGAGGCUUAACCUU